RNAcentral lists this ribosomal RNA (274 nucleotides) under uncultured bacterium. RNAcentral describes it as "partial 16S ribosomal RNA". It matches the Rfam family "Bacterial small subunit ribosomal RNA", at positions 524 to 796 of the family's 1533-position model. The record is from RNAcentral.
UACGGAGGGUGCGAGCGUUAAUCGGAAUUACUGGGCGUAAAGCGCACGCAGGCGGUUUGUUAAGCUAGAUGUGGAAAGCCCCGGGCUCAACUGGGAUGGUCAUUUAGAACUGGCAGACUAGAGUCUUGGAGAGGGGAGUGGAAUUCCAGGUGUAGCGGUGAAAUGCGUAGAUAUCUGGAGGAACAUCAGUGGCGAAGGCGACUCCCUGGCCAAAGACUGACGCUCAUGUGCGAAAAGUGUGGGUAGCGAACAGGAUUAGAUACCCGUGUAGUCC